GAUGAACGCUGGCGGCGUGCCUAAUACAUGCAAGUCGAGCGAACGGACGAGAAGCUUGCUUCUCUGAUGUUAGCGGCGGACGGGUGAGUAACACGUGGAUAACCUACCUAUAAGACUGGGAUAACUUCGGGAAACCGGAGCUAAUACCGGAUAAUAUUUUGAACCGCAUGGUUCAAAAGUGAAAGACGGUCUUGCUGUCACUUAUAGAUGGAUCCGCGCUGCAUUAGCUAGUUGGUAAGGUAACGGCUUACCAAGGCAACGAUGCAUAGCCGACCUGAGAGGGUGAUCGGCCACACUAGAACGGAGACACGGUCCAGACUACUACGGGAGGCAGCAGUAGGGAAUCUUCCGCAAUGGGCGAAAGCCUGACGGAGCAACGCCGCGUGAGUGAUGAAGGUCUUCGGAUCGUAAAACUCUGUUAUUAGGGAAGAACAGAUGUGUAAGUAACUGUGCACAUCUUGACGGUACCUAAUCAGAAAGCCACGGCUAACUACGUG
This 497-nucleotide ribosomal RNA is filed under the name uncultured bacterium. RNAcentral's name for it is "partial 16S ribosomal RNA". It matches the Rfam family "Bacterial small subunit ribosomal RNA", at positions 28 to 507 of the family's 1533-position model. The record is from RNAcentral.